GGGCGAUUAGCUCAGUUGGUCAGAGCGCUGGUCUCACAUACCAGAGGUCGCAGGUUCGAGCCCCGCAUCGCCCA
RNAcentral lists this transfer RNA (74 nucleotides) under bacterium. Its description in RNAcentral is "tRNA-Val". It matches the Rfam family "tRNA". From Rfam's summary of the family: Transfer RNA (tRNA) molecules are approximately 80 nucleotides in length. Their secondary structure includes four short double-helical elements and three loops (D, anti-codon, and T loops). The record is from RNAcentral.